This is a long non-coding RNA of Leguminivora glycinivorella, 519 nucleotides long. RefSeq lists it as uncharacterized. NCBI's taxonomy places the organism in Eukaryota, Metazoa, Arthropoda, Insecta, Lepidoptera, Tortricidae. The record is from RefSeq and is a predicted model, not a curated record. The transcript is spliced from 2 exons.
UAAAUUUAUUGUGUUUAUAUGGUGGUGUAAUAUUAUGUAUGAUCAUGAAUUAAUGGAUUAUACAAUGUUAAAUUGCUUCAAAGUACCUUGCGAAUAUAAUCUUCAGCAAGCUACUUUGAAAAAACCGACUAUACCCAAAAGUUGUUGAUUCGGAAGAUGGUUUGUAUCUCCGUGUCGUUAACAUUAUUGGCGUUGGCAUCGUUUAUAGCUUGCAUACCCAAUUUACGAUAUUACCGAAGACAAGACAUCAAGAAGUGUCUCAAGUGUCUGAGGAAAAUAAGGAGAAGAUAAUGUCCUGCCUUACGGCUCUGGCAGUCCUUUUAACCGUCAGUGUGCUCUCAUGUGGUCCCGUAGUUGUGCGCAAUUACACAGUUAAAGAAAAGGAAAAAGAAAAAGAUAAAGAAAAGAAUGCUGAUCCUGAUAAAACUGGAAAAUCCCCGUAACAAACAGUUGGAGCCAAUGUUCUCCUCUCAAGGGAGGAUGACUACCUCACAGUAAAUAAAUAUAAUUAUGAAAUAA